UAGCUUGGAGUUUCUUCUUCUC
This 22-nucleotide non-coding RNA is filed under the name Arabidopsis thaliana (thale cress). The record is from RNAcentral. Lineage: Eukaryota; Viridiplantae; Streptophyta; Magnoliopsida; Brassicales; Brassicaceae.